GACAGAGGGUGCAAACGUUGUUCGGAAUUACUGGGCGUAAAGCGCGUGUAGGCUGUUCGGAAAGUCGGGUGUGAAAGCCCCGGGCUCAACCCGGGAAGUGCACUCGAAACUCCCGAACUGGAGCCUGGAGAGGAAGGCGGAAUUCUCGGUGUAGAGGUGAAAUUCGUAGAUAUCGAGAGGAACAUCGGUGGCGAAGGCGCCUUCUGGGACAGUGACUGACGCUGAGACGCGAAAGCGUGGGGAGCAAACAGGG
This 253-nucleotide ribosomal RNA is filed under the name uncultured bacterium. RNAcentral's name for it is "partial 16S ribosomal RNA". It matches the Rfam family "Bacterial small subunit ribosomal RNA", at positions 524 to 777 of the family's 1533-position model. The record is from RNAcentral.